UACGGUAGGGGGCUAGCGUUGUCCGGAAUCGAUUGGGCGUAAAGCGCGCGUAGGCGGCCCGGUAAGUCCGCUGUGAAAGUCAAAGGCUCAACCUUUGAAUGUCAGCGGAUACUGCCGGGCUAGAGUCCGGAAGAGGCGAGUGGAAUUCCUGGUGUAGCGGUGGAAUGCGCAGAUAUCAGGAGGAACACCGGUGGCGAAGGCGGGUCUCUGGGCCGAUACUGACGCUGAGGAGCGAAAGCGUGGGGAGCGAACAGG
Molecule: ribosomal RNA, 255 nt
Filed under: uncultured bacterium
Lineage: Bacteria
Description: partial 16S ribosomal RNA
Rfam family: Bacterial small subunit ribosomal RNA
Source: RNAcentral